Molecule: unclassified non-coding RNA, 300 nt
Filed under: uncultured Tremellales
Lineage: Eukaryota; Fungi; Basidiomycota; Tremellomycetes; Tremellales
Description: sequence contains 5.8S rRNA gene, ITS2
Rfam family: 5.8S ribosomal RNA (bases 1-71)
Source: RNAcentral
GUGAAUCAUCGAAUCUUUGAACGCACCUUGCGCCCUCUGGUAUUCCGGAGGGCAUGCCUGUCUGAGUGUCAUGACAACCUCAACCCCACCGGGUCUUCCUGUGUGGGAUUGGAUCUGGGCGUCUGCCGUCUUUAACAAACGGCUCGCCUUAAAAGUCUCAGUGGGACCGACCUUUUGUGUCGACGUGUUAAGUCUUCGUCGUCUUCUGGGCCCGGGCCUGCUCAUAACCCGCCUUCUGGGCAAUACACUCUUGACUUUGACCUCAGAUCAGGUAGGACUACCCGCUGAACUUAAGCAUAU